CUCAACAUGCAGAAGCAAUUCGCCUUUUUCCCUGGAAAACUUCGGGUCGUGUUCCGCAAGGGGCCUCUUGGGUUUCACCUCCAGGAGCCAUCUGAUGACGCCAAACGGUUGAGUUCUACUCCUCAGGACAAGUCUGCGGCCAUGAGGGAGGACCUCGUACGGCAGAACGCUUUGGCCGUCAUCCGACAAAGAGGGGGGGAUCCCUCAGAUAAGAUGGAGGUGCUGGGAGAAUAUGUCCUGCAGUUUGGUAAAUAUAAAGGGAAGUCAUUCAGAUGGCUUUUGCAGAAUGACGUAGGAUACACCGUGUAUCAAGAACGAAACAGAAUGAGGAAGCAGCAGGUCUCUGUAUGGCUGACAGCCACAGUAAGGACAGCCUCCAGUCAUUUGUGAGUUAUGCCCUCAGUUUCCAAGAAAUCCAGGCUCUUACUUAUGAGGCCGGAAGAGGGGAUGGAGUGACUGCCUCUUCUGAAGAUGACCAGCUGGUUGGAUUUGGUGCCUGAGCCAAGAGCACGUGGAAGGAGAUCUGGGACAGCAGAGGUGGUGGCUAUGCUGAUUUUGUCAUAGGCAAGCGCUGCGUUCCAGGUACAUGAAUGUUCAGGUUGCAGCAGAACCUGCUGAAGAGGCAGCAGCCCACCACAUCUUCCACACCUGCUGAGCAUCCCAUGAAGGCCCCAGCUGAGCCCCUGGCCAUGGAGGAGGACGUAGAGAUGGAAAGGGAGAUGCUGAGCAUCCAUAACUCUGAUCUGCAAGUCCAGAGCUAUGCUAUCCCAGUAGCAGCAGCCGCCCUGCCGAGAGUGCCACCAGGAGCAAAGGCAGUUCCAUCUGCCACACGCUCCAAACCCCCACCUGGAGAUACCGCUGAUCUACAGGCAUCACUAGUUGAUGGUAAAAACAUUGUAAUUCUGUUCAUCCAAUCAAGUGUUCUGCUAACUGCAGCUGCAUUAAAUAGAGUAAUUUCAUUUUUGAAAAUUACUGUACCUGCGGCUGUUCCAGCUUCACCAGGUGUGAAGAGGAAGAGACCUGUGCCCCUCCCUCCACAGCUGGCCUUCCUGGUGACAGAGACAGAGGGUCUCACAAAGGUAGAGGAGCCCCACUCAACUUCAAGUAUGUUUAUUUUUUUUAGGGCUGAUGAACAACCUGAUAUCUCUGUAAUGUACAGCUGACUGUUCUUUCCAUGUUGUCAUCAGUUCCCAUAGCUCCUGUUCCCAUGCCUGUCCCUGACCACGACAUGAGCAAGUGGAUCUGCUCACAACAUCAAAAGCUGUGGAUGAGGACGGCACUUCAACAACUUGGGUUGUGGCCUGGGUCCCGACCAGUGCAUAACCCUGGGAACGCAAUUUCUCUUUGGCGUCUUCCUCCUCAACCGGAGCUACUGGACAUAGUGGCUGAGCUCCCAUCUCCCAACUUUUUUUCAGCUCCAUCCAUUUUUCAUUUGGAAGCCAGAGAGCCACAUCAUGGUCAGGUUGAGGAACAAUUACAUCCUGCCGUGCCUCCAUAGCUGUCCUCGUCCUCAGGUGGUCUCUGCAGGCGUGGGAAGACCUUGAGUGAUCGUCAGCGUCCGUGGCCAGUAUUUUAUCUUUUCCUCGCGACUCUGCUGCAAGGCCUGUCGCAGGAACUG
Molecule: long non-coding RNA, 1618 nt
Organism: Takifugu rubripes (torafugu)
Lineage: Eukaryota; Metazoa; Chordata; Actinopteri; Tetraodontiformes; Tetraodontidae
Source: Ensembl